RNAcentral lists this ribosomal RNA (1326 nucleotides) under uncultured Alphaproteobacteria bacterium. RNAcentral's name for it is "bacterial SSU rRNA". It matches the Rfam family "Bacterial small subunit ribosomal RNA", at positions 29 to 1402 of the family's 1533-position model. Lineage: Bacteria; Pseudomonadati; Pseudomonadota; Alphaproteobacteria. The record is from RNAcentral.
ACGUACGCUGGCGGCACGCCUAACACAUGCAAGUCGAACGAAGUAGCAAUACUUAGUGGCAGACGGGUGAGUAACAUGUGGGUAUCUGCCCUUUGGCCUGGAAUAACACGAGGAAACUUGUGCUAAUACCGGAUAAGUCUUUACGGAGAAAGCUUUAUGCACCAUUGGAUGAGCCUGCACUUGAUUAGUUUGUUGGUGGGGUAAUGGCCUACCAAGACUGUGAUCAAUAGCUGAUUUGAGAGGAUGAUCAGCCACAUUGGGACUGAGACACGGCCCAAACUCCUACGGGAGGCAGCAGUGGGGAAUCUUGCACAAUGGAGGAAACUCUGAUGCAGCGAUGCCGCGUGAGUGAAGAAGGCCUUUGGGUUGUAAAGCUCUUUCGUCGGGGAAGAAAAUGACUGUACCCGAAUAAGAAGGUCCGGCUAACUUCGUGCCAGCAGCCGCGGUAAUACGAAGGGACCUAGCGUAGUUCGGAAUUACUGGGCUUAAAGAGUUCGUAGGUGGUUGAAAAAGUUAGUGGUGAAAUCCCAGAGCUUAACUCUGGAACUGCCAUUAAAACUUUUCAGCUAGAGUAUGAUAGAGGAAAGCAGAAUUUCUAGUGUAGAGGUGAAAUUCGUAGAUAUUAGAAAGAAUACCAAUUGCGAAGGCAGCUUUCUGGAUCAUUACUGACACUGAGGAACGAAAGCAUGGGUAGCGAAGAGGAUUAGAUACCCUCGUAGUCCAUGCCGUAAACGAUGUGUGUUAGACGUUGGAAAUUUAUUUUCAGUGUCGCAGGGAAACCGAUAAACACACCGCCUGGGGAGUACGACCGCAAGGUUAAAACUCAAAUGAAUUGACGGGGACCCGCACAAGUAGUGGAGCAUGUGGUUUAAUUCGAAGAUACGCGCAGAACCUUACCAACACUUGACAUGUUCGUCGCGACUCUAAGAGAUUAGAGUUUUCGGUUCGGCCGGACGAAACACAGGUGCUGCAUGGCUGUCGUCAGCUCGUGUCGUGAGAUGUUGGGUUAAGUCCCGCAACGAGCGCAACCCUCACUUUUAGUUGCCAUCAUUAAGUUGGGCACUCUGAAAGAACUGCCAGUGAUAAGCUGGAGGAAGGUGGGGAUGACGUCAAGUCCUCAUGGCCCUUACGUGUUGGGCUACACACGUGCUACAAUGGUAUCUACAACAGGAAGCAAAACUGCGAAGUUAAGCAAAUCCCUAAAAGAUACCUCAGUUCGGAUUGCACUCUGCAACUCGAGUGCAUGAAGCUGGAAUUACUAGUAAUCGUGGAUCAGCGUGCCACGGUGAAUGCGUUCCCGGGUCUUGUACACACCGCCCGUCAAGG